Long non-coding RNA from Capra hircus (goat), 8741 nucleotides. RefSeq lists it as uncharacterized. The transcript is spliced from 4 exons. The record is from RefSeq and is a predicted model, not a curated record. Lineage: Eukaryota; Metazoa; Chordata; Mammalia; Artiodactyla; Bovidae.
AAGUAACUAACACAACACAGCCAGGUACUGUGUGCUAGGUGCUGGGGACACAGUGUUAACAAGGUGGGACUAGCUGAAAACCUGGUGUGAUGACUGUUGUGAAGUAGGAUCAGUAGGAAGAUUGGGAACGUAAUUAGCGGGUUAAUCUAGUUGGUGGAAGUCUGUGAGGGAAAGUCACUCAGGAAGUGAGUAGUUAAAGAAGUAAGUAGUUAUGAGGAAGUGGUAGUUAAGCUGAGACUUGAAGGCUGAGUAGGAGUAAGCCAGGUGAAAGAGAGGCACAUUAAGGAAGGGGAAACAGCAUGUACAAAAUACCUGAGACCAAUGAGAACCUUCCCCAUUCAAGGAACCUGAAAAAAGUGGGCCAUGAACAGCAAAGGAGAGCACCUCUGGAAAUGAGCUAGCCAAGAAGGCAAGGCUGACUGAGAUAGCAGCUCCCUUCCUCACUCACAGUAAAGAACAGGUAGUAGUGGUAUAAUUCUGGCUGUGGCCAUUGCCCAGAUUUGAGGUGUGCCAGUCUCAAAGCCACCUUUCUUACCUUAUAGCUGGCAUGAAAUCAUCAGAUCUUCGACCUACUUAUUUAUUUAUUUUUUCCAGAUGGAUUUUAAGUUACCAACUUUCCCUUACUACUUUGCAGAGGUGUAAUGGACAAAACUCUAAAAUAUUUAAAGCAUACAACAUAAUGAUUUGAUAUACAUGUGUAUUGUGAGUGGAUGUCUAAAAUUGAGUUUAUUAUUAGUACAAGUUUACAGUAUUUCAAUCUUAGGGCCAACAAACUCUUAACUCUGCAUUCUAUUAUAGGUAUUAAGUUGGUACUGGGUACCCAAGGGGCAGAGGUCCCUGAGAUUUGUAGGGCCACUUUCUGUAGCCCCUUGAACUGUGAAGAAAAUCUGCCAUUGCAGGAGUCAGCUUGACACUGUAUAGCAGCUCUGCUCUGGCUCCAAAGAAAGCAAUUUUUCUUUUUAAUUUAUUCCCAGAGGUGUCCUCUUCCUUCCAGACCCUGACCUGACCCUAUAGGGAAGUUGUGUAUCUACUUCUUCAAUGAUAUUCCUUUUCUGAGAAUAGCACUUGGCAAAAUUUCUCUGCUAUGUUUGUCAUCUUCCCUUCUUUCAUUUGGCUCACUGGCUAUCCAAAUUUGCCCACAUUGGCAUUCUCAACAUCCCCCUCCACCCAAGAACAACAACCCCAUUGAACAACAACAACAACAAGAAGUGAUGAUAAAAAAAAAAUAAAAACAUAGCCUGAGUGAUACAGUACAGAGACAGCACAAGCUUUUGGGUGACUUUAUACUAAAGUGUGAAUGACUGAUACUUGCAUACCUUCUCCAGUCUCCUUUGUGAAAAGUACGUUUUCUUUUGUAUAUUUUCAUUUUAAAGAAGUUUGCUUAUUAGCCUGAGGUUUUAAUUAGCCACUGGAUCAAAAUAAAGCCUUUCUAACUGCAUAAAGUACUUCAGACCACAGGGUCAUUUUUUUCUGAAACCUUUGGCACUAUACCAGUAGGCAGCCACAGACAGUGCCAAAAGGAUUUAGACUCUGGACUGAUUGCCAUGUAUUAGUUGUUUUUCCCCUCUUCAAAAUCUAUCAAAUAUUCAAACCUGCAGACACAAACAGGAACACACUGGAGAGAAGAGUCCCAGAGGGCGGAAGAUCCUCUACUCAUUGUCCCGUGCGCCUCACCUCCUCACACACGCACACUCCUUCAUCUCUCACCUUGCCAGGGACCUGCCCCAAGGUGAAUAGCAUCCCAGCGGGUCUAGAGGCACUAACAGAGUCCUGCUGCUUCUUCAGCCGCUGGAAGUGCCAACCGUCUCGCAUGCCCAAACCCGAUCCUUCUACAGGACACCCAGCCAGGGCCUACAGCGAGUGACCCUCCCAUAAGAGGCGCGGCCAUCAUCACCUGCCCAGGCUAGCGCACCAGGGCCUGAAGCCCAGCACACAGAGCCACGGCGUUCACUCGACCGCAGCAACCCAACCGGUUCUUUAGGCCUCAGUUCGGGCGAGUACAGGACCCUCUAUCUGGGGCUCUUUGUCCGCCACCUUCCUGGUUCCUGUUCUUAAACCUUCCUCCCAGCAGCCCCCACCAGCGCACCGACCUGCAGAAAAGUUGCUCCCGAGCUAUGGAGGGGCGUCAUCGCCUCCUAGCAACGCUCCUAGCAACCGGAUAACAUCUGCUCCCUCUGGUCCAAUGCGAGCUGAGAACAGCUGCGAGCCUGCCUCGCGUUGCGAACCCCGAGCGAGAGGCGCUUCAGAGACUGGAGGGACGGACCUGCAGGAGCCAGGGCUGCCCGCCGAGCUGCAGUUGCCGCCGCUGCCACUGUCGCGCCGCCACCACCGUCGCUGUCGCUGUCAGUGCCCUUCUGAAGAGUGACAGCGCCGUAAAAGCGGGAGGGAGCACCGAACCCCGCGCCUUUAUGAAACAGGUGCACGCGCCGGUCUCCGGGUGAGUGGACCCAGCUUGCAAGGUAGCCAUUCAUGAGUCUGAGGCUUUGAGAAAUGCUCACUGUGAAAAGGGGAACUUUCACCAGAUUUUCUGAAGCUGUCCUAGAAAUACACUUUUCAGAUUGAUUCAGCAUUACCAGCUUAUCCAACAAAAGUAUUAACAUAUACGUUAACAACGUCGAAAGUAGCCUACUUUAAGAGAAAAUAUGCAGAAGAAGAAGAUUUACAUCAAGAUUACCAUGGGUAUUUUCCAAAACACCUGAUAUUGCCUGAGGACAGGACCUGCAUUCUUAAACUUUCGCUUGAGAAGCUCAGAUUUCUUGAAGACCCAGAAACCUACUUAAGAAGGUCUGUGUUAAUUAACAAUUUGCUGAGGAAGAUCCAUCUAGAGACGGAGAAAGAGAGCUAUGAAUACUUUAAAGAAGCUCCCUGUUAUAAGACUGCUUAUUCUGAUACAAGAAAACGGCUGAAGUUUAUGGUACAGGAAUGCUGUUCUCAGUCUCUCUAUUACGAAGAGCUGCAUUCGUAUCAUAUUGUGCCUUAUGCUUCGGAGAAUGCCAUUUAUGGAAUGGGCUACACUAGCAGCCACUUGGAGCAGAAUUCUCAGUUGCUUAUUUAUAAAAUGAAUUAAAUUAACUGUUAAAGUCCAUUGAUACCUUGUUUCUAAAUGCCUGAACUGUUCAUAGUGAAGAUGUUAAUAUAAGGCACUAAUUAUCAGUGCCCUUGAGAUCAGAGAUGAGAUGCAUGCUGAACUGAUUGGAGAGAACCCUGGUUAUUCUUCAGCAGUCCUUAGUAUCAUCCAGCCAAAUCGAAAAUAUGUCCACGUAUUAUAAAGCAGAGAAUAAGUGCUUUGAAGCUAAGUUUUCUUGCCUUUUUUUUUUUUUAAGAUAGUGUGCAUAGGAAGGGACCUAAAUAAGUUCCUUUGCAAAUUUAAACAUUUCAAACCACCUAUUUCCAAAUUCUACCACUUCUCGUGGAAAGUAACAGAUUCAUAUUAAACAGAUAAUGUUUUGUCCCUGAAGAUUAAGGGUAGAACAAAUUUAAUUUUCUGUGAAUGAUGAAAGGAAGGGUCAGUCCUUUCUGAAAUGCUUUGGUUUGUCAAGCAUUGUGCCAAAUAAUUGACACCAUUCUCCUUUUACCAUUAGUGGCAAUUCAAGAUGUGACCAACCUUCUACAAUUUAACUGCUGAAUGUUAACAACCAGAACACUCUACACUGAUCCAUUUUACAUUUCUUUUUUUUUUUUUUUUUGCUUCAUAGAUUUUUCUCUUUAAAAGUGGAAUUUAUAAAAUAGCCUUGCAGAUGGGCUUAUCUCUAAGUUCUAGGGGUCAAUUAAAAUUUGUGGUUGGCCUUUAGUUGCAUUUAAAUUUAUUUAUGAUGUCACAUUUACAGGCCGUGAAGCUCAGGAAAUGGGUAGGCAGGUCAUCUUCAGUUUUAAUAGGCAGAUAAUUUUAAAGAAUCUUAUCUGCAAAAAAAUGGUGAGACCAAGAAAUCCUACAUGAUGUUAUUUCUUCAUCUGAGAGUUCAUUUAAGGCUGUCUAGAUGAACCUUUGCACUGAUUUUUGUAUAAUAGUCGACCGUUCACUAUUUGACAAAACGUUUCAGAAUGCCUUUAGUGGUGACGUUGAGAUAAGUUCCUAUAUUUUGCAAUUUGAAAGAUAAUUAGUUAACAAGUUGCAUACAUUCCUGAAACUGUUUGAAAUGGUUCAUGAUGUUCUUUGAGGUUUGAGUGAAAUGUCUGAUUUUAAUGUCUGGACUUAUGUUCCAUGGCGCACAUCAUUUAAAGAAUUGUCAUUAACUGAUAAAACAGAUUGGAAAACUAGGUGCCAAAGGUACAUUUAAGAAAAUACCAAAGACCCAAAGAUGAGUGUUAGAUAGACUAUGAUAAUGAAGAUAAGAACCUAAAGUAAGGAUUGUACAGGACAUGGAAGAACAUUAUUAAAGGGAUUUGGAGUGAUUUGCUUACUAACGUGCUUUCAGAGCACUUUAUACAUACAUGAUAGUAACAGUCAAGGGCACUGCUUGGGCCUUCAGUGUCAUAUGUUUUCACAGAUCUAGACAUUGCGACUUUUCAGCAUUGUAUCCUCCCUUGUUGAAUGCCAUCUCGUAAUCAAGAAGGUCUUUAUCUCUUCAAGAGAAUUUUGUUUUUAGUUUUGAUUCACUACUUGCUCCCUCUAAUGAAUUAUCAGGGCGAUUAACAGGGAUGCUUUUGGUAUAAAGAAUAUGAGUCCCCUAAUUAGCAUGCAUUGUUAAAGACCACAUAGAUAUAUAACUGAUAAGAUUAUCAGAUUUCUAUUUAAUUGCUCAGUCAGAAUUAGAGAAAAAUGAUUUGGAACAAAUUAAAAUAUUAUAACUGGGGCUAAUUUUUAAGGCAAUUUAGUAUGAAUGGUGAGAUAGCUUUGACAUACAAAUAUAUUUUAAAAUUAAUUUAAGGACAAAAUUUGUUACCAAAUUUCAAAAAUUUAUUUCACUACUUAUACCAUACCUUACUUCCCAGAAUAUGUUUAUUAAAAUGUAGUUUUCUUAAACAAUGAAAAUAUUAAUUGAACAGACUCCAAAUUUGAUAGGAUAAUUAUGUACUUUAAAAAAUGGAAUUAGUUCUCUAAUAGUUUAAAACUUCUUACCAAUAGGGACAUUUGGCUUGGUUUAGGACAGUAUCUAUAAGAAAAACGCACCAGUGCUAAUAGAAUGACUUACAAAAAUGCAACAUAUUGAAAUUGUUUGAGGAUAUAAAUGUGUAUACUUUGGGACUGAAAAGAGAGGGGGAGAAAAAAUUACCAAGAAAGUAUAAUAUUGUAAAAUUUACUGUUUGUCUGAAAUCUUAAUGCAAGAACUCUUGGGCAAUGAACCUGUAACAGACAUAAAAUCUGUUUUAUUUGAUGACAUCAUUAACUGAGCUCUCUGAAUUUUGCAUUCAUAUACAGAGAAGGAACUGUCUUAGAAUUCAUUGGUAUUUGUGAAUAUGCUUCUCUUUUUUAAGAAAUAUGUGUUGAUUUCAAACUAGGUUAUUUAAAAACUAUCUUUUAGAGCAUUUAAUUUCUUUUCCAAUAAACAAUUCGUAGAUAAGGAGCUGACUAAUGUUAUCUUGACUCAUUGAAAAAUUAUAAUUUGUAUUUAAGCUAUUUAAACUUGUCUGAGUUAACCAAUGAGAUUGCUGUGAUUUUACCAUGGCAACCUGUUACAUAGGGACCUGCUCUGCUGUCUCCAUCCUGCACGAUCUGUUAUGGGAGAUGCAAAGGUAGGAAAACAACGGCAAGUUUUGAAAACAGUGACAACUUUUUUGAACCUGGACAUCCUUUCUUUGGUGACAAGAGCCAUGCUUAAGAUAAGAUAGGAUGGGAAAUGUAUGAGUGCCUUUGGUAAUGUAGACUAAUUUUGUGGGUGCCCAAACAGCCUUAAGUUCUCAUAAAGAAGAAGAAAAAGAAACAGAGAGGAAAAGAGAGGAAGAAAAAAGGAGGGGGAGGUGCAGAGAUAUGAGGAACAGAAUUAGUAAGUGAAAGCGCAAGUUGUUUCAUGUGAGGGUUGUUGCUUGCUUGCUGUACUCAACUGUUCUCUCCUUUGUCUGCUGUGCUCCCCGAAUCUGAACACCCGCAGGGUAUUGAUCCUUUCUUUUACUCACCACUGAUGCCUAAGACUAGAUUCUAUUCUGUAUAUAGAUGACUUGAAAUGUGGUACCACUACGAAAUAUCCCUAAAAUGGAACUCCUUGGGUGGAUGAGAAAAGGAAAAAUAGAAAUUAAGCUGGAAGAAAGACUAAAUGGUGAGUGAGCUGGUGUACAUGUGGUUAAUCUCAAACACAUGAGAGGAUUUCAGUGUGCAUUCCAAGAUGUAAUAAAGUCAGUGCUAGAGGACUUUUAAAUAAGUGCAGUUCCCCGCCAUUUAUUGCUUAACUGUUAGGAGUCAGGCAUGGUGCCAGGGUUGAGGAGACACAGGUGAGUGAUGCGCAGUUCUUUUGUCCAAGCUGUUCAUUGAUGAGGGAGGAACUCAGAGAUAUUUGGUUUCAUUUUUAAAAGUAAGAAUUCUUUACUGGGAGUAGCACUUGCAUUUCUCUUUUCCAGACUCUGGGAUGGUUAUCAAACAUGUAUCUCCAAAGGUGUUUGUAGCCAAGAAGAGGCACAGGGAGAAAAGAAGGUAUACUGAGCUAGAUUUUAGAAUGGAAGGAGAGUACAUUCUGCUUUGCAGUGUAUUUUAUAUUUGGAAGAAUGAGAGAAAACCAGUGCUGCGGAAGGGAGAUGUCGCUCAUCCCUGGGGCACAAGAGGUUGUAGGUGAGGAAGGGAGACCAGUAAAAGUGCAGAACAAUUCCUCCUCCCCACCUCUCUAACUUUGAUGUACUUUUACACGGCAAAUCAGGUUAAUAUUGUCAAUGAUAUCCCUGAAGGGAUAGCAGAAUCAGGAAAUCAGUCUGAGGGUUGUAUACAAUGUGUUCAAGUUAGAGGGCAGUUUUCUUUAAUUUGCCUUGUAUUGGUAAAUUGCUAAAAUGAACCUCGGGAUUUCUUAACAUCAGCUGCUGGAGGCGUGCUCCUCUCCCAGUUGCUUCCUUUCUGAAUCACAGCUCAGCCAACCCCUGUCUUUUCAGUCUGUCGGAAGUGGAGCUUAUGGUUCUAAUACUCUCUCCCCUCUCUUUUUUAAAAUUUUGAUUGGUGUAUAGUUGAUUUACAAUGCUGUGUUAGUUUCAGGUGUACAGCAAAGUGAAUCAGUUAUAUAUAUACAUAUAUCUACUCUUUGUUUUUAAAGAUUCUUUUCCCAUAAAGGCCAGUACAGAGUAUUGAGUAACGUUCCCUGUGGUAUACAGCAGGUUAUUAAUUACCUAAUUUAUGCUGUUGAUACUGAUUUGUUCAAAACUGUUUGGAAGAAAACAACAAUUUGCAGUGCUGGUUGAGCCCCCUUGAGAAAGGUUUCCAGAGUGUAUCAAACUAGAAUCCAUCAUAGUUUCUUGAUAGAAUUAUUUGAAAUACUAUUCGACAUAGUCAUUAAAUAACUAUCUACUAAGGUAAUCUUUAUGUUUCUGGAGUUCAAUGUAAUGGUUAAAAUUUCUACAUGUUUUGCUAAAUACCUUAGGUUGGAAACAAAGGAAGAUCAUGUGUAAUUAAUUCAAGCAGUUGGUUCAUGAGUAUUUAUGUAAUAUUUGAAAUUUAAAUUUAUGUUCUUUUUUUCCCAUCAAACUUCAUUACUGUAAAUCAGCAAUGUGACAUGUCUCAUGAUUAUUAUUUCCUUAGUAAGUGGGCCAUGUCUAAAAGUUUGUACCUUCAUGGUUGAACCCUUUGGAUUGUAUUUCUCCAUUAAAGUUUCUGUCUUUCCAUAAAGAUUAUUCUACAGUUGAGUGGAUAAAGAAGAUUCCUCUACAGUAACACUUUUCAAAUCUUGUGCAUGCAAGUCACCAGACAUCAAGUUAGAAUACAAACUCUUUUCAGUAGGCCUGGUGUGGAGUCUGAGAGUCUGCAUUUCUCAAGUUUCCUAGAUGACAUGGGUGCUGCUGGCUCACUGAGUACUCUGAGUAGCGAUGCUCUACGUGGCUUUGAGAAUGAAAAUAUACAUUCAGGCCUACAGUCUUACUACUUUCAAAGCAUUUGCAUUCAUGUCUGCUUUCCACGGAAACUUUUUCUUCAAAGAAAUGAAAGGCAAGAAGUAUCAUAAGCUAAUUUUUCAAACUGGCCACAAAUAUGACAAUAUUCUAUACAGUAAAAUCCCUAGAAAAUGAUUUAUAAAUUUUAUCUACAUCAAGUGCAGAAAGGGGAUAUGGAGGUAGUCAUGUGCCAUUCUUGAAUAUCUGCAUGGGUUGAAGAAUUUGGUAAACCUGAACUGAAAAUGGUACCUGGAACUUCAUCUUCUUAUCUUGAACUCUUUCUUGAGUUUUAUACCAUGAAAAAUCCUCCCUUUGGUACAGACAUUCUGUUUCUCUUAAGCUGUUGGUGUCUGAGUGAGGAUUGGUGUGAAAGAGGGAGUCACCUGAAUUGUCUGAUUUGAGCAUGCCAAGUGAUUUUUGUCAGGCUCUCUUUUGGUCUUAAAUUGUUGGUAUAGCUAUUGUGAAAUAUAGUGCCAUAAGUUUGUCACAAAAUGAAAGGAGAAAAGCAGAAAUUUAGUUCUGUGGAAUGCACUAAGAAACCAAACAGAUGGUGUUCUACAACAUUUAUGUGGGAAAAUGUGUAUCUGUUACAUAAUCUAAAAUAUGUCUUUUUCACAUUUAAAAUAUUUGGGUCAUGAUUUAGUUUCUAUUGGAUUGUUUUUUAAACUUAGAAGAAGAAGAAAGGUCACUGUAUUUUAAGGCAUAUUUGACAUGUUACUAAUAAAAUUUUAUUUCUGGUGAAA